ACUCCUUCCGCUAUUAGAGAAAGCCCGAGCUUGUAUCUAUCUGCCUGGGGUGUCGACGCGCGGACAAAGGUCUUCUCCAACUGGGCACAUGAAAUCUUCUCCAGUGAUUUGAAAUACUUUUCCUUCAGCCUCCUCUUCUCCAAUGCCUUUGUGUACCGAUCGCCCUCCGAAAACGACCCAGCAUGCAGUCCAGUGACGAUAGCAUACUCCUGCAGUCCAAACCGGGUAAGGUG
RNAcentral lists this long non-coding RNA (233 nucleotides) under Olea europaea (common olive). RNAcentral's name for it is "long non-coding RNA (OEUR_LNC013783)". The record is from RNAcentral. Lineage: Eukaryota; Viridiplantae; Streptophyta; Magnoliopsida; Lamiales; Oleaceae.